Molecule: ribosomal RNA, 446 nt
Filed under: uncultured bacterium
Lineage: Bacteria
Description: partial 16S ribosomal RNA
Rfam family: Bacterial small subunit ribosomal RNA
Source: RNAcentral
CCUACGGGAGGCAGCAGUCGAGAAUCAUUCACAAUGGGGGAAACCCUGAUGGUGCGACGCCGCGUGGGGGAAUGAAGGUCUUCGGAUUGUAAACCCCUGUCAUGUGGGAGCAAAUUCAAAAGAUAGUACCACAAGAGGAAGAGACGGCUAACUCUGUGCCAGCAGCCGCGGUAAUACAGAGGUCUCAAGCGUUGUUCGGAAUCACUGGGCGUAAAGCGUGCGUAGGCUGUUUCGUAAGUCGUGUGUGAAAGGCCCGGGCUCAACCCGCGGACGGCACAUGAUACUGCGAGACUAGAGUAAUGGAGGGGGAACCGGAAUUCUCGGUGUAGCAGUGAAAUGCGUAGAUAUCGAGAGGAACACUCGUGGCGAAGGCGGGUUCCUGGACAUUAACUGACGCUGAGGCACGAAGGCCAGGGGAGCGAAAGGGAUUAGAUACCCCUGUAGUC